AUAAUACUCCCUCCGUCCGGAAUUACUUGUCAUCAGAAUGGAUGUGUCUAGAACUAAAAUACAUCUAGAUACAUCCAUUUCAAUGACAAGUAUUUUCGGACGGAGGGAGUAGUAG
Non-coding RNA from Triticum aestivum (bread wheat), 115 nucleotides. NCBI's taxonomy places the organism in Eukaryota, Viridiplantae, Streptophyta, Magnoliopsida, Poales, Poaceae. The record is from Rfam.